CAACUGCAGUCGAGCGGACAGAUGGGAGCUUGCUCCCUGAUGUUAGCGGCGGACGGGUGAGUAACACGUGGGUAACCUGCCUGUAAGACUGGGAUAACUCCGGGAAACCGGGGCUAAUACCGGAUGGUUGUCUGAACCGCAUGGUUCAGACAUAAAAGGUGGCUUCGGCUACCACUUACAGAUGGACCCGCGGCGCAUUAGCUAGUUGGUGAGGUAACGGCUCACCAAGGCGACGAUGCGUAGCCGACCUGAGAGGGUGAUCGGCCACACUGGGACUGAGACACGGCCCAGACUCCUACGGGAGGCAGCAGUAGGGAAUCUUCCGCAAUGGACGAAAGUCUGACGGAGCAACGCCGCGUGAGUGAUGAAGGUUUUCGGAUCGUAAAGCUCUGUUGUUAGGGAAGAACAAGUGCCGUUCAAAUAGGGCGGCACCUUGACGGUACCUAACCAGAAAGCCACGGCUAACUACGUGCCAGCAGCCGCGGUAAUACGUAGGUGGCAAGCGUUGUCCGGAAUUAUUGGGCGUAAAGGGCUCGCAGGCGGUUUCUUAAGUCUGAUGUGAAAGCCCCCGGCUCAACCGGGGAGGGUCAUUGGAAACUGGGGAACUUGAGUGCAGAAGAGGAGAGUGGAAUUCCACGUGUAGCGGUGAAAUGCGUAGAGAUGUGGAGGAACACCAGUGGCGAAGGCGACUCUCUGGUCUGUAACUGACGCUGAGGAGCGAAAGCGUGGGGAGCGAACAGGAUUAGAUACCCUGGUAGUCCACGCCGUAAACGAUGAGUGCUAAGUGUUAGGGGGUUUCCGCCCCUUAGUGCUGCAGCUAACGCAUUAAGCACUCCGCCUGGGGAGUACGGUCGCAAGACUGAAACUCAAAGGAAUUGACGGGGGCCCGCACAAGCGGUGGAGCAUGUGGUUUAAUUCGAAGCAACGCGAAGAACCUUACCAGGUCUUGACAUCCUCUGACAAUCCUAGAGAUAGGACGUCCCCUUCGGGGGCAGAGUGACAGGUGGUGC
RNAcentral lists this ribosomal RNA (1010 nucleotides) under Bacillus subtilis. Its description in RNAcentral is "bacterial SSU rRNA". It matches the Rfam family "Bacterial small subunit ribosomal RNA", at positions 52 to 1044 of the family's 1533-position model. The record is from RNAcentral. Lineage: Bacteria; Bacillati; Bacillota; Bacilli; Caryophanales; Bacillaceae.